UACGGGGGGGGCAAGCGUUGUUCGGAAUUACUGGGCGUAAAGGGCUCGUAGGCGGCCAACUAAGUCCGACGUGAAAUCCCCAGGCUUAACCUGGGAACUGCGUCGGAUACUGGAUGGCUUGAAUUCGGGAGAGGGAUGCAGAAUUCCCGGUGUAGUGGUGAAAUGCGUAGAUAUCGGGAGGAACACCAGUGGCGAAGGCGACUACCUGGCCUGUUCUUGACGCUGAGGCGCGAAAGCUAGGGGAGCAAACGGG
This 253-nucleotide ribosomal RNA is filed under the name uncultured bacterium. RNAcentral describes it as "partial 16S ribosomal RNA". It matches the Rfam family "Bacterial small subunit ribosomal RNA", at positions 524 to 776 of the family's 1533-position model. The record is from RNAcentral.